AUCCAGCUGACGAGUUUCAAAUAGGACGAGACACAAAUCCUGGAU
Molecule: non-coding RNA, 45 nt
Organism: Schistosoma curassoni
Lineage: Eukaryota; Metazoa; Platyhelminthes; Trematoda; Strigeidida; Schistosomatidae
Source: Rfam